This 253-nucleotide ribosomal RNA is filed under the name uncultured bacterium. RNAcentral's name for it is "partial 16S ribosomal RNA". It matches the Rfam family "Bacterial small subunit ribosomal RNA", at positions 524 to 776 of the family's 1533-position model. The record is from RNAcentral.
UACGUAGGUGACAAGCGUUGUCCGGAUUUAUUGGGCGUAAAGAGCGCGCAGGCGGUCGUUCAAGUCGAGUGUGAAAGCCCCCGGCUCAACUGGGGAGGGUCACUCGAUACUGAUCGACUCGAAGGCAGGAGAGGGUAGUGGAAUUCCCGGUGUAGUGGUGAAAUGCGUAGAUAUCGGGAGGAACACCAGUGGCGAAGGCGGCAUCCUGGACCAUAACUGACGCUGAGGCGCGAAAGCUAGGGGAGCAAACGGG